UACGUAGGGGGCGAGCGUUGUCCGGAUUUAUUGGGCGUAAAGAGCUCGUAGGCGGUUUGGUAAGUCGGGUGUGAAAUCUCCACGCUCAACGUGGAGGGGCCACUCGAUACUGUCAUGACUCGAGUCCGGUAGAGGAGUGUGGAAUUCCCGGUGUAGCGGUGAAAUGCGCAGAUAUCGGGAGGAACACCCGUAGCGAAGGCGGCACUCUGGGCCGGAACUGACGCUGAGGAGCGAAAGCGUGGGGAGCAAACAGG
Molecule: ribosomal RNA, 254 nt
Filed under: uncultured bacterium
Lineage: Bacteria
Description: partial 16S ribosomal RNA
Rfam family: Bacterial small subunit ribosomal RNA
Source: RNAcentral